AUCUCUUGGUUCCAGCAUCGAUGAAGAACGCAGCGAAAUGCGAUAAGUAAUGUGAAUUGCAGAAUUCAGUGAAUCAUCGAAUCUUUGAACGCACAUUGCGCCCUCGGUAUUCCGGGGGGCAUGCCUGUUCGAGCGUCAUUG
This 141-nucleotide ribosomal RNA is filed under the name Usnea subfloridana. RNAcentral describes it as "5.8S ribosomal RNA". It matches the Rfam family "5.8S ribosomal RNA". From Rfam's summary of the family: 5.8S ribosomal RNA (5.8S rRNA) is a component of the large subunit of the eukaryotic ribosome. It is transcribed by RNA polymerase I as part of the 45S precursor that also contains 18S and 28S rRNA. Functionally, it is thought that 5.8S rRNA may be involved in ribosome translocation. The record is from RNAcentral. Lineage: Eukaryota; Fungi; Ascomycota; Lecanoromycetes; Lecanorales; Parmeliaceae.